Molecule: long non-coding RNA, 983 nt
Organism: Cannabis sativa
Lineage: Eukaryota; Viridiplantae; Streptophyta; Magnoliopsida; Rosales; Cannabaceae
Exons: 2
Source: RefSeq, a predicted model, not a curated record
AUUCCUUCUUUGCCCUACACACAGCAAAGUGAUUAAUCAAAUCCCCAAGGUCAAAUCUGACCAUUUACCCAGUCAAAGAAAGCUUUUGACUUUCGGAUAUUAUAACCCAAAAAUGACAGCUCCCUUCCUAUGAGUUAUAGGUCGUUUAUAUUUGUUGUUCGGAAACCCUAAAACACCUUUAGACAUAUAUAAGCUUCUUUUUCAUUCAAACACAUCCAACCACCUAAAAUAAACCCUGGUCGUGAGACCUCCUUCGAUGUUCUUCUCUGAAGAACACGAAGAACACCAACCCCAAUCGUACACCAGAUCACACCCAGAAAAAACAUUACACAGCCCAGUUCAAAUCAACCUCAAACCGAGCCUUGCAAAACCAAUUAUAUACCCAGAAAUCAGACAAUAAACCCCAAGAAAUUAACCCUUAUCAGCCCGAUAUAAUACCCCCCAAAAAAAUAAACAUAAAUCAUAUAAAAUACAGAAAAGAAAAAUGGAGAGAACACACCAAAUUUUUAUAGAGGUUUCUCAAAAUUGUGCUGGGUACAUCCUCUUCGAGCUCGCCUCGUUCCACUAUGGAUCUUCAAAGAUCAGAGAUUACAAUCAAUGGGUGGGAUUCCAAAACACACAGCUUACUCCAUUGUAAGCCUCCUCCAAAAAAACUCCCCAAAAUCAAUCUAUUUCUCCUCUGUGAAAACUGAUAUGAUUUUGUUGUAUAAUGUUCUGCCUCUGAAUUUUUUCUUGUUGCUGUAGUACUGAUCUCUGUUGUGUUGUUCUGAUAUGAGAUUGUAUUUAUAUUAGUGUAUAUAAACAGAGAAUGCUAAAAGUUAGUUACAAAGUUUUAACAAACUUUGUAAUAUAACUGACUUGCUGAUGCUGUCUGCAACUUGUUAGAGACCAAAGGCCACUUAGUCCUUUAUUUACUGCCUUGUAAAACUCUGUGUAAUAUUCUAGUUUUUACAGUGUACAGGUAAUAUGGGAUUUUAUUUCAA